Molecule: ribosomal RNA, 1284 nt
Filed under: Bacillus sp. (in: firmicutes)
Lineage: Bacteria; Bacillati; Bacillota; Bacilli; Caryophanales; Bacillaceae
Description: bacterial SSU rRNA
Rfam family: Bacterial small subunit ribosomal RNA
Source: RNAcentral
GAUGUUAGCGGCGGACGGGUGAGUAACACGUGGGUAACCUGCCUGUAAGACUGGGAUAACUCCGGGAAACCGGAGCUAAUACCGGAUAGUUCCUUGAACCGCAUGGUUCAAGGAUGAAAGACGGUUUCGGCUGUCACUUACAGAUGGACCCGCGGCGCAUUAGCUAGUUGGUGGGGUAAUGGCUCACCAAGGCGACGAUGCGUAGCCGACCUGAGAGGGUGAUCGGCCACACUGGGACUGAGACACGGCCCAGACUCCUACGGGAGGCAGCAGUAGGGAAUCUUCCGCAAUGGACGAAAGUCUGACGGAGCAACGCCGCGUGAGUGAUGAAGGUUUUCGGAUCGUAAAGCUCUGUUGUUAGGGAAGAACAAGUGCGAGAGUAACUGCUCGCACCUUGACGGUACCUAACCAGAAAGCCACGGCUAACUACGUGCCAGCAGCCGCGGUAAUACGUAGGUGGCAAGCGUUGUCCGGAAUUAUUGGGCGUAAAGGGCUCGCAGGCGGUUUCUUAAGUCUGAUGUGAAAGCCCCCGGCUCAACCGGGGAGGGUCAUUGGAAACUGGGAAACUUGAGUGCAGAAGAGGAGAGUGGAAUUCCACGUGUAGCGGUGAAAUGCGUAGAGAUGUGGAGGAACACCAGUGGCGAAGGCGACUCUCUGGUCUGUAACUGACGCUGAGGAGCGAAAGCGUGGGGAGCGAACAGGAUUAGAUACCCUGGUAGUCCACGCCGUAAACGAUGAGUGCUAAGUGUUAGGGGGUUUCCGCCCCUUAGUGCUGUAGCUAACGCAUUAAGCACUACGCCUGGGGAGUACGGUCGCAAGAUUGAAACUCAUAGGAAUUGACGGGGGCCCGCACAAGCGGUGGAGCAUGUGGUUUAAUUCGAAGCAACGCGAAGAACCUUACCAGGUCUUGACAUCCUCUGACAACCCUAGAGAUAGGGCUUUCCCUUCGGGGACAGAGUGACAGGUGGUGCAUGGUUGUCGUCAGCUCGUGUCGUGAGAUGUUGGGUUAAGUCCCGCAACGAGCGCAACCCUUGAUCUUAGUUGCCAGCAUUUAGUUGGGCACUCUAAGGUGACUGCCGGUGACAAACCGGAGGAAGGUGGGGAUGACGUCAAAUCAUCAUGCCCCUUAUGACCUGGGCUACACACGUGCUACAAUGGACAGAACAAAGGGCUGCGAGACCGCAAGGUUUAGCCAAUCCCAUAAAUCUGUUCUCAGUUCGGAUCGCAGUCUGCAACUUCGACUGCGUGAAGCUGGAAUCGCUAGUAAUCGCGGAUCAGCAUGCC